UCCCUGGUGGCUCAGAGGCUAAAGCCUCUGCCUGCAAUGCAGGAGACCUGGGUUCGAUCCCUGGGUCGGGAA
Ovis aries (sheep) is the source of this 72-nucleotide transfer RNA. It matches the Rfam family "tRNA". Rfam says of the family: Transfer RNA (tRNA) molecules are approximately 80 nucleotides in length. Lineage: Eukaryota; Metazoa; Chordata; Mammalia; Artiodactyla; Bovidae. The record is from Rfam.